This 2631-nucleotide ribosomal RNA is filed under the name Paenibacillus lautus. Its description in RNAcentral is "partial 23S ribosomal RNA". It matches the Rfam family "Bacterial large subunit ribosomal RNA", at positions 1 to 2616 of the family's 2925-position model. The record is from RNAcentral. Lineage: Bacteria; Bacillati; Bacillota; Bacilli; Caryophanales; Paenibacillaceae.
UUGGUUAAGCUACUAAGAGCACACGGAGGAUGCCUAGGCGCUAGGAGCCGAAGAAGGACGUGGCGAACAACGAUACUGCCUCGGGGAGCUGUAAGCAAGCUUCGAUCCGGGGAUGUCCGAAUGGGGAAACCCAGCUGAUGUAAUAGUCAGUUACCCGUAUCUGAAUACAUAGGAUGCGAGGAGGCAUACCCAGGGAACUGAAACAUCUAAGUACCUGGAGGAAGAGAAAACAAGAGUGAUUCCGUCAGUAGCGGCGAGCGAACGCGGAACAGCCUAAACCAGAGAGCUUGCUCUCUGGGGUUGUGGGACGUCUCACAUGGAGUUACAAAGGAAUGUAUUAGGCGAAGAGGUCUGGAAAGGCCCGCUAUAAGAGGUAAAAGCCCUGUAGCCGAAAGUAUAUUCCCUCCGAGACGGAUCCCGAGUAGUGCGGGGCACGUGAAACCCCGUAUGAAUCCAGCAGGACCAUCUGCUAAGGCUAAAUACUCCCUAGCGACCGAUAGUGAAGCAGUACCGUGAGGGAAAGGUGAAAAGCACCCCGGAAGGGGAGUGAAAUAGAACCUGAAACCGUGUGCUUACAAGAAGUCAGAGCCCGAUUCUAUGGGUGAUGGCGUGCCUUUUGUAGAAUGAACCGGCGAGUUACGUUCCCAUGCAAGGUUAAGGCGAGAAGCCGUAGCCGCAGCGAAAGCGAGUCUGAAUAGGGCGACUUAGUAUGUGGGCGUAGACCCGAAACCGUGUGAUCUACCCCUGUCCAGGGUGAAGGUGCGGUAACACGCACUGGAGGCCCGAACCCACGUAUGUUGAAAAAUGCGGGGAUGAGGUGGGGGUAGCGGAGAAAUUCCAAUCGAACUCGGAGAUAGCUGGUUCUCCCCGAAAUAGCUUUAGGGCUAGCCUCGGAAUGAAGAGUCGUGGAGGUAGAGCACUGAUUGGGUGCGGGGCCCGCAAGGGUUACCAAGCUCAGUCAAACUCCGAAUGCCAUAGACUUAUAUCCGGGAGUCAGACAGUGAGUGCUAAGAUCCAUUGUCAAAAGGGAAACAGCCCAGACCAUCAGCUAAGGUCCCCAAGUGUGUGUUAAGUGGGAAAGGAUGUGGAGUUGCACAGACAACCAGGAUGUUGGCUUAGAAGCAGCCACCAUUUAAAGAGUGCGUAAUAGCUCACUGGUCGAGUGACUCUGCGCCGAAAAUGUAACGGGGCUAAACACACCACCGAAGCUAUGGCUUGANNNNNNNNNNNNNNNNNNNNNNNNNNNNNNNNNNNNNNNNNNNNNNNNNNNNNNNNNNNNNNNNNNNNNNNNNNNNNNNNNNNNNNNNNNNNAGAAGUGAGAAUGCCGGUAUGAGUAGCGCAAGAUAAGUGAGAAUCUUAUCCACCGUAAGACUAAGGUUUCCAGGGGAAGGCUCGUCCGCCCUGGGUUAGUCGGGACCUAAGGCGAGGCCGAAAGGCGUAGUCGAUGGACAACUGGUUGAUAUUCCAGUACUAGAUAUGAUCGUGAUGGAGGGACGCAGUAGGCUAAGAGAUGCCAGUUAAUGGAUUCUGGUCUAAGCAGUGAGGUGUGAGAUGUGUCAAAUGCAUUUCUCUUUAACAUUGAGCUGUGAUGGGGAAGCAACUACGGUUGCGAACUCUCUGAUGUCACACUGCCAAGAAAAGCUUCUAGCGUAAAGUCAUAUCUACCCGUACCGCAAACCGACACAGGUAGUCGAGGCGAGUAGCCUCAGGUGAUCGAGAGAACUCUCGUUAAGGAACUCGGCAAAAUAGCCCCGUAACUUCGGGAGAAGGGGUGCUGGUGUAAAAGCCAGCCGCAGUGAAUAGGCCCAAGCAACUGUUUAUCAAAAACACAGCUCUCUGCUAAACCGCAAGGUGAUGUAUAGGGGGUGACGCCUGCCCGGUGCUGGAAGGUUAAGAGGAGUGCUUAGACGUAAGUCGAAGGUAUGAAUUGAAGCCCCAGUAAACGGCGGCCGUAACUAUAACGGUCCUAAGGUAGCGAAAUUCCUUGUCGGGUAAGUUCCGACCCGCACGAAAGGCGUAACGACUUCUCGACUGUCUCAACCAUAGGCCCGGUGAUAUUGCACUACGAGUAAAGAUGCUCGUUUCGCGCAGCAGGACGGAUAGACCCCGGGACCUUUACUACAGUUUGAUAUUGGUGUUCGGUUCGGCUUGUGUAGGAUAGGUGGGAGACUGUGAAACUGUGACGCCAGUCAUGGUGGAGUCGUCGUUGAAAUACCACUCUGGUCGUGCUGGAUGUCUAACCUGGGUCCGUGAUCCGGAUCAGGGACAGUGUCUGAUGGGUAGUUUAACUGGGGCGGUUGCCUCCUAAAGGGUAACGGAGGCGCCCAAAGGUUCCCUCAGCCUGGUUGGCAAUCAGGUGUUGAGUGUAAGUGCACAAGGGAGCUUGACUGUGAGACCGACGGGUCGAGCAGGGACGAAAGUCGGGACUAGUGAUCCGGCGGUGGCUUGUGGAAGCGCCGUCGCUCAACGGAUAAAAGGUACCCCGGGGAUAACAGGCUGAUCUUCCCCAAGAGUCCAUAUCGACGGGAUGGUUUGGCACCUCGAUGUCGGCUCGUCGCAUCCUGGGGCUGGAGUCGGUCCCAAGGGUUGGGCUGUUCGCCCAUUAAAGCGGUACGCGAGCUGGGUUCAGAA